RNAcentral lists this ribosomal RNA (1377 nucleotides) under uncultured bacterium. RNAcentral's name for it is "bacterial SSU rRNA". It matches the Rfam family "Bacterial small subunit ribosomal RNA", at positions 27 to 1395 of the family's 1533-position model. The record is from RNAcentral.
GAUUGAACGCUGGCGGCAGGCCUAACACAUGCAAGUCGAACGGUAGCACAGAGAGCUUGCUCUUGGGUGACGAGUGGCGGACGGGUGAGUAAUGUCUGGGAAACUGCCCGAUGGAGGGGGAUAACUACUGGAAACGGUAGCUAAUACCGCAUAACGUCUUCGGACCAAAGUGGGGGACCUUCGGGCCUCACACCAUCGGAUGUGCCCAGAUGGGAUUAGCUAGUAGGUGGGGUAAUGGCUCACCUAGGCGACGAUCCCUAGCUGGUCUGAGAGGAUGACCAGCCACACUGGAACUGAGACACGGUCCAGACUCCUACGGGAGGCAGCAGUGGGGAAUAUUGCACAAUGGGCGCAAGCCUGAUGCAGCCAUGCCGCGUGUAUGAAGAAGGCCUUCGGGUUGUAAAGUACUUUCAGCGGGGAGGAAGGCGAUGGAGUUAAUAGCUUCAUCGAUUGACGUUACCCGCAGAAGAAGCACCGGCUAACUCCGUGCCAGCAGCCGCGGUAAUACGGAGGGUGCAAGCGUUAAUCGGAAUUACUGGGCGUAAAGCGCACGCAGGCGGUCUGUCAAGUCGGAUGUGAAAUCCCCGGGCUUAACCUGGGAACUGCAUUCGAAACUGGCAGGCUAGAGUCUUGUAGAGGGGGGUAGAAUUUCCAGGUGUAGCGGUGAAAUGCGUAGAGAUCUGGAGGAAUACCGGUGGCGAAGGCGGCCCCCUGGACAAAGACUGACGCUCAGGUGCGAAAGCGUGGGGAGCAAACAGGAUUAGAUACCCUGGUAGUCCACGCCGUAAACGAUGUCGACUUGGAGGUUGUGCCCUUGAGGCGUGGCUUCCGGAGCUAACGCGUUAAGUCGACCGCCUGGGGAGUACGGCCGCAAGGUUAAAACUCAAAUGAAUUGACGGGGGCCCGCACAAGCGGUGGAGCAUGUGGUUUAAUUCGAUGCAACGCGAAGAACCUUACCUACUCUUGACAUCCAGCGAAUUCGGUAGAGAUACCUUAGUGCCUUCGGGAACGCUGAGACAGGUGCUGCAUGGCUGUCGUCAGCUCGUGUUGUGAAAUGUUGGGUUAAGUCCCGCAACGAGCGCAACCCUUAUCCUUUGUUGCCAGCGGUCCGGCCGGGAACUCAAAGGAGACUGCCAGUGAUAAACUGGAGGAAGGUGGGGAUGACGUCAAGUCAUCAUGGCCCUUACGAGUAGGGCUACACACGUGCUACAAUGGCGCAUACAAAGAGAAGCGACCUCGCGAGAGCAAGCGGACCUCAUAAAGUGCGUCGUAGUCCGGAUUGGAGUCUGCAACUCGACUCCAUGAAGUCGGAAUCGCUAGUAAUCGUAGAUCAGAAUGCUACGGUGAAUACGUUCCCGGGCCUUGUACACACCGCCC